AGCGGGUGUGCCUGAAAGGGAAUCGGAACACAGGUGCUGCAUGGCUGUCGUCAGCUCGUGUCGUGAGAUGUUGGGUUAAGUCCCGCAACGAGCGCAACCCUUAUCCCUAGUUGCCAUCGGGUCAAGCCGGGCACUCUAGUGAAACUGCCUCGGAUAACGAGGAGGAAGGUGGGGAUGACGUCAAGUCCUCAUGGCCUUUAUGUCCAGGGCUACACACGUGCUACAAUGGUCGGUACAAACCGUCGCAAACCCGUGAGGGGGAGCUAAUCGGAAAAAGCCGGCCUCAGUUCGGAUUGGAGUCUGCAACUCGACUCCAUGAAGCUGGAAUCGCUAGUAAUCGCGGAUCAGAACGCCGCGGUGAAUACGUUCCCGGGCCUUGUACACACCGCCCGUCACAUCACGAAAGUGGGCCGUACUAGAAGCUGGUGUGCUAACCGCAAGGAGGCAGCCAUCCAAGGUACAGCUCAUGAUUGGGGUGAAGUCGUAACAAGGUAGCCGUAA
This 501-nucleotide ribosomal RNA is filed under the name uncultured Acidobacteriota bacterium. Its description in RNAcentral is "bacterial SSU rRNA". It matches the Rfam family "Bacterial small subunit ribosomal RNA", at positions 1007 to 1505 of the family's 1533-position model. The record is from RNAcentral. Lineage: Bacteria; Pseudomonadati; Acidobacteriota.